CAUGCGUGACAUUAGCUAGUUGGUGAGGUAACGGCUCACCAAGGCGACGAUGUUUAGGGGGCCUGAGAGGGUAGUCCCCCACACUGGUAUUGAGACACGGACCAGACUCCUACGGGAGGCAGCAGUGAGGAAUAUUGCGCAGUGGACGAAAGUCUGACGCAGCCAUGCCGCGUGCAGGAUGACGGUCCUAUGGAUUGUAAACUGCUUUUGUAUAGGAAGAAACUUAACUACGUGUAGUUGACUGACGGUACUAUAUGAAUAAGCAUCGGCUAACUCCGUGCCAGCAGCCGCGGUAAUACGGAGGAUGCAAGCGUUAUCCGGAUUUAUUGGGUUUAAAGGGUGCGUAGGCGGAAACUUAAGUCAGUGGUGAAAUCCUGCAGCUUAACUGUAGCACUGCCAUUGAUACUGAGAUUCUUGAGUACGGUUGAGGUAGGCGGAAUGUGUAAUGUAGCGGUGAAAUGCUUAGAUAUUACACAGAACACCGAUUGCGUAGGCAGCUUACCAAGCCGCAACUGACGCUGAGGCACGAAAGCGUGGGGAUCGAACAGGAUUAGAUACCCUGGUAGUCCACGCUGUAAACGAUGAUCACUAGCUGUUGGCGAUAGAUAGUCAGCGGCAAAGCGAAAGCAUUAAGUGAUCCACCUGGGAGUAC
RNAcentral lists this ribosomal RNA (652 nucleotides) under uncultured bacterium. RNAcentral describes it as "bacterial SSU rRNA". It matches the Rfam family "Bacterial small subunit ribosomal RNA", at positions 230 to 883 of the family's 1533-position model. The record is from RNAcentral.